RNAcentral lists this ribosomal RNA (497 nucleotides) under uncultured organism. RNAcentral's name for it is "SSU rRNA". It matches the Rfam family "Bacterial small subunit ribosomal RNA", at positions 18 to 509 of the family's 1533-position model. The record is from RNAcentral.
CCUGGCUCAGGAUGAACGCUAGCGGCAGGCUUAACACAUGCAAGUCGAGGGGCAGCGCGGGGUAGCAAUACUCUGGCGGCGACCGGCGAAAGGGUGAGUAACGCGUGAGCAACAUGCCCGAUAGAGGGGGAUAGUCAUUGGAAACGAUGCGUAAUACCCCGUAACAUUCGGAACCGCAUGAUUCUGAAUUGAAAGAUUUAUUGCUAUCGGAUUGGCUCGCGUACCAUUAGCUAGUUGGCGGGGUAACGGCCCACCAAGGCGACGAUGGUUAGGGGUUCUGAGAGGAAGGUCCCCCACAUUGGAACUGAGACACGGUCCAGACUCCUACGGGAGGCAGCAGUGAGGAAUAUUGGACAAUGGCCGAGAGGCUGAUCCAGCCAUGCCGCGUGCGGGAGGACGGCCCUAUGGGUUGUAAACCGCUUUUGUUGGGGAGCAAUAAGUCUUACGUGUAAGAUGAUGAGAGUACCCAGCGAAUAAGCAUCGGCUAACUCCGUGCC